Long non-coding RNA from Amphiprion ocellaris (clown anemonefish), 1131 nucleotides. Lineage: Eukaryota; Metazoa; Chordata; Actinopteri; Pomacentridae. The record is from Ensembl.
CUCACAUGGGUGCAGCAGGAACUUUCACUUCACCACGAGAACAUAACUCAUCUAAACACACUUUCCCAGUCUUGGCGCAUGUUUAGUGCACAUGUACACCCUGAUUUCCACCGUGGAUGACAGUGUUUGUCACCUUUUUUGUUGUCAAAAUCCGUAUUUUGCCACCCUAGAUGAUUUAAGAUCAAGCCGCCUACAGAAAGAAGCUGAUCACUCAUCCCAGGAGAGUUUGAUGGCCUUCUGCUGGGUGACAGGGGUUACCAUGCCAACCCAGGCUGAUGACCUCAUACCCUGACCCUGAACCAGGCUCACUGCAGGAUGAGAGCCUGGGUGGAGAUGACCAUAGACCUGCUGAAAGCCCAUCUCCAGUACCUACAUCACCUCAGGGUGACUCCUGGGAGGACCUGUGAUAAUAUUCAUAAUACUGCCACUGUAGCUGACACUGUUUAAGAGUCUUUAGGUUGCCAUGGCAAUACAGGAAGGUGGUCAUUUACACCCAAGUAAAUUUUAUUUUGGAAAGCAGUAUUAAAAUAUUUGUCCUGUGGUACCUUUGAUCAUUUUGGUCUGGUAAAAUGCAUUACUUUUAGUCUAGUUUUUCGUUUGGUUUAUGGUCCUGGUUGAUAAAGUUGUAGCAGUUGUCAUGUGACUUACGCCACAGAUGUGAGAUGCAGCAUGGGAUAGAUACAGAUCAGGCAGGUUCUUCAGCCAGUUUUACAGUCCGUCUGCCUUUAAUUUCUGUUGGUCAUCCAGGCAAACGGUAAUUAUUAAUACAUUUCAGAGAACUGUAUAUUUGUUUAGACAGAGACAAAGGUAUUUGUUUCUUUUUCAUUUCAUGACUUGAAUAUGAGAUUAUCUUUGUAGUUUUCACAGUGUACCACCAAAUGAUAUGUUUGAGAAGAAUAAACCUUUUGUGGACAUCAGUACAAAGUAUGGACUCUUUCACUGACCAGCAGUUACAGCCACUAUUAGAGGAGAGCAACACUCUGCCCUACAAACUGAAGACCCAGAUGAUGACCUCAUCCACCUGCCAGCUAUCCAAGAUAACAGAGCAGUCAGAGACACCAUAUGCAAUAAUCACUGCAGAGUUUAAGUCUCCAUCAUCACCACCACAGCAGUCAAAUAAACACAUGAUAC